This 486-nucleotide ribosomal RNA is filed under the name uncultured bacterium. RNAcentral describes it as "partial 16S ribosomal RNA". It matches the Rfam family "Bacterial small subunit ribosomal RNA", at positions 30 to 507 of the family's 1533-position model. The record is from RNAcentral.
AUUGAACGCUGGCGGCAUGCCUUACACAUGCAAGUCGAACGGCAGCACGGGUGCUUGCACCUGGUGGCGAGUGGCGAACGGGUGAGUAAUACAUCGGAACAUGUCCUGUAGUGGGGGAUAGCCUGGCGAAAGCCGGAUUAAUACCGCAUACGAUCCACGGAUGAAAGCGGGGGACCUUCGGGCCUCGCGCUAUAGGGUUGGCCGAUGGCUGAUUAGCUAGUUGGUGGGGUAAAGGCCUACCAAGGCGACGAUCAGUAGCUGGUCUGAGAGGACGACCAGCCACACUGGGACUGAGACACGGCCCAGACUCCUACGGGAGGCAGCAGUGGGGAAUUUUGGACAAUGGGCGAAAGCCUGAUCCAGCAAUGCCGCGUGUGUGAAGAAGGCCUUCGGGUUGUAAAGCACUUUUGUCCGGAAAGAAAUCCUUGACUCUAAUACAGUCGGGGGAUGACGGUACCGGAAGAAUAAGCACCGGCUAACUACGUG